CGUGGGUAACCUGCCCAAGAGACUGGGAUAACACCUGGAAACAGAUGCUAAUACCGGAUAACAACACUAGACGCAUGUCUAGAGUUUAAAAGAUGGUUCUGCUAUCACUCUUGGAUGGACCUGCGGUGCAUUAGCUAGUUGGUAAGGUAACGGCUUACCAAGCAAUGAUGCAUAGCCGAGUUGAGAGACUGAUCGGCCACAUUGGGACUGAGACACGGCCCAAACUCCUACGGGAGGCAGCAG
RNAcentral lists this ribosomal RNA (243 nucleotides) under uncultured bacterium. Its description in RNAcentral is "partial 16S ribosomal RNA". It matches the Rfam family "Bacterial small subunit ribosomal RNA", at positions 116 to 354 of the family's 1533-position model. The record is from RNAcentral.